UGGGGGAUAUUGCACAAUGGGCGAAAGCCUGAUGCAGCGACGCCGCGUGGGGGAUGAAGGCCUUCGGGUUGUAAACUUCUUUUGCUCUGAACAAGGCAUGCUAAUGGGUGUGUUGAGUGUAGGGGUUGAUUAGCGCCGGCUAACUACGUGCCAGCAGCCGCGGUAAUACGUAGGGCGCGAGCGUUGUCCGGAAUUAUUGGGCGUAAAGGGCUUGUAGGUGGCUGGUUGCGUCUGUCGUGAAAGCUCAUGGCUUAACUGUGGGUUUGCGGUGGGUACGGGCUGGCUUGAGUGCAGUAGGGGAGGCUGGAAUUCCUGGUGUAGCGGUGGAACGCGCAGAUAUCAGGAGGAAUACCGGUGGCGAAGGCGGGUCUCUGGGCUGUUACUGACACUGAGGAGCGAAAGCAUGGGGAGCGAACAGG
This 419-nucleotide ribosomal RNA is filed under the name bacterium. RNAcentral describes it as "partial 16S ribosomal RNA". It matches the Rfam family "Bacterial small subunit ribosomal RNA", at positions 355 to 776 of the family's 1533-position model. The record is from RNAcentral.